Molecule: ribosomal RNA, 253 nt
Filed under: uncultured bacterium
Lineage: Bacteria
Description: partial 16S ribosomal RNA
Rfam family: Bacterial small subunit ribosomal RNA
Source: RNAcentral
UACGAAGGGGGCGAGCGUUGUUCGGAAUUACUGGGCGUAAAGCGUGCGCAGGCGGUUAUGUAAGACAGUUGUGAAAUCCCCGGGCUCAACCUGGGAACUGCAUCUGUGACUGCAUAGCUAGAGUACGGUAGAGGGGGAUGGAAUUCCGCGUGUAGCAGUGAAAUGCGUAGAUAUGCGGAGGAACACCCGUGGCGAAAGCGGCUCUCUGGAACGGUACUGACGCUGAGACGCGAAAGCGUGGGGAGCGAACAGG